RNAcentral lists this ribosomal RNA (261 nucleotides) under uncultured bacterium. RNAcentral describes it as "partial 16S ribosomal RNA". It matches the Rfam family "Bacterial small subunit ribosomal RNA", at positions 94 to 353 of the family's 1533-position model. The record is from RNAcentral.
AGUGGCGGACGGGUGAGUAACGCGUGGGUAACCUGCCUCAUACAGGGGGAUAACAGUUAGAAAUGACUGCUAAUACCGCAUAAGCGCACGGGACCGCAUGGUUUUGUGUGAAAAGCCGAGACGGUAUGAGAUGGACCCGCGUCUGAUUAGCUGGUUGGUGGGGUAACGGCCCACCAAGGCGACGAUCAGUAGCCGACCUGAGAGGGUGACCGGCCACAUUGGGACUGAGACACGGCCCAAACUCCUACGGGAGGCAGCAUG